This 559-nucleotide long non-coding RNA is filed under the name Cairina moschata (Muscovy duck). RNAcentral's name for it is "domestica (muscovy Duck (domestic type)) lncRNA (ENSCMMG00000011741.1)". Lineage: Eukaryota; Metazoa; Chordata; Aves; Anseriformes; Anatidae. The record is from RNAcentral.
GAGAGGGUUACCCAUUUUCUCCAAGUCCAAUAAAUGUCGUGUAUGGCAAUGUUUUCCCUCAUUUCUGUACCAGGGCAGUAGGAAUGCUGCAAACUAUACUAAAUCCUGCAUCACGAAGAUAUUCUACUUUCCGUGAUGCAUUGCAAAGGAGAAAGAUACUGGACUCCUAACUGUGCUUCUCCUGGAGAUGGUUGAGAGCUAGCACUGGACUGAGCAUCUCUGCUGGGGGUGAGGGGUUGGAUGCUGACCUGUAUUUCAUGCUUCCCGUGCAUGGCAAAGAGGAGACCUACCCCAGCAGCAGGUUGACAGAACUAGUCCUAGAAACCCCCAAGUGAUGAUAUCUUCUCCUAAAGGUACCUCCAUUUACUCUACAGAGAACUCAGAGUCUACCUGGGCACGCCCCCGGAGUUUCAGAAGGGCAAAGGUGGGUUGGAGAAAUCCCACCUCCAGCUUCACCAGCAAACCUGAACAACAUUCAGAGUUCACACAAAUGGUGAGACCAGGGCUCCAUUUGCAGAACCAUUUGUCCGUACUUGAUGAGCUUGUGUUUUGCUUCUGA